Molecule: long non-coding RNA, 344 nt
Filed under: Callithrix jacchus (white-tufted-ear marmoset)
Lineage: Eukaryota; Metazoa; Chordata; Mammalia; Primates; Cebidae
Description: lncRNA (ENSCJAG00000059186.2)
Source: RNAcentral
GAGUGUUAAUUCAAGAAGGAAAACAGAAAUCUACUGAAGUCAUGAAAAGCACCCAGGAACUCAGAGAGAAUGCUGGCAAACAGCCAUCAUGAUGGCAUCUGCCUGACAAAAAUACUUUAAAAAAUUAUCAUAUAUUAUUCUUCAUAAAGAAUCCCCGGUUUCUUUUUGGUGUUUUUUCUGCUUUCCACUAUUGAUCAUGUUGGCUAGAGACUAAUUCCUACUGCCUGCCUCCAUCAUAGAAUCCAAGCCUUCCUACAGGCCCCUCAUAGUGUGCUCCUGAGACUCUGAACUGUACGUGAGUGAAACAAGAAAUCUAGAAAUUUUGAAGGCCAGAAUCCUCACAG